Helianthus annuus (common sunflower) is the source of this 2743-nucleotide long non-coding RNA. RefSeq lists it as uncharacterized. Lineage: Eukaryota; Viridiplantae; Streptophyta; Magnoliopsida; Asterales; Asteraceae. The record is from RefSeq and is a predicted model, not a curated record. The transcript has 11 exons.
CCGAUUUUGAUGUUUAUAACUGGCCUAUUCGGAUGUUCUUGGCUUUUAAAAUCGAUAAACAAAUCAAAGCUAUUAGGAUGUUCUGUUUGAUUCUGUCCAAGCUGUUGUUUUCAAAACAUAAUGUGGGUGGAUCUCCUGUAUCAAUAUUUUCACUCAUGGGAAGUAAUGCUGGUGAUGGACGUUUAGCUGCUGGUCACAAACGGCUUACAACAGCUACUCGGUAUGGUGACCGGAGGAACGCCGGCGACUGGAUGAGGACGGAGGGGGCGGCGUGGGAGGACGACGUCGCCGAGGGGGAGGCCCACAUGUUUGGUCCGUCUCAAACGGCUAAACUCGGACGGCGACGACGGGACGGAGGGGGACGGAUUUAACUUUGGAGGUAUCUUCUAUAUGGAGACGUAUCUGCAAAAGCAGGCCAUAUGUUUUCCCAGCCUGAGGUUUCUGAUUUCUUUGCUAAGUUAAUACAAAGGGUCUCACCAAAGAGUUACCAGUAGGCUCUCGGUGUGGUUUAUGUUAACGGAAAGUUUUUAGAAAACUUUUCUGGUGAUCAGGUGCGUUUCUUGGCAAGGUCGUUCGGAGUACCUGGGAAUCAUCUUGGGCAACAAAGUCAUGGUUUCCGAUGGCCAUAUGGCCCUGACAGGAGGAUUAUAACAGAUUAAGACCGCUGAGUUACUGUGGGCGGACGUUUUCAUUUUGGCGUUUUCCUUUAUCAGCAAAGCUAGCUAUGAAACUGUGUCUAAGAAGUGGAUUCCAGAGUUGACACAUUAUGCACCUGGUGUGCCAAUCGUCCUUGUUGGGACCAAACUUGGUGAGUCAAUAACGAAUUAUUUAUUCUUUUAUCUCAAAACAUGAAAAUAUAUUUGUCAUAAUCUUGUCAAUAUAUUCGACCAAGAUGACUUAGGGGGUUCGGCCUUGCAACUUCCCUCAUUUUAGCUUGUGUGGUAUGAUUAUAUUCCUAUUAAUCAUUCUUUUGAUCAUCUAUCAUUGUUUAAAAUGCUUCUAUCUGAUAAUGACAAUAUUGGAAGGUGAUGUAUGAUGCAUCGUGUGUACCAGUGCAAUCUGGGCACAAAUCAGAGGCUUACUUAUAUUAACCCAUGGUCCAAAAUUCCCUUUUCAGGGUUUAUUGCAAUCUUGGUUUUAAAUUGCGUGAUGCGCUCCGAUGCGUUUAGUCCAAAAAUCUGAUGCGCGAUGCAUGAUGCGCGAUGCGAGCGCAUCACGUAUGUGAUGCGUUCUUUAUAAAAAAAAAUAGUUAAAAAUUAUUUAUACAUAAAAACUUAUAAAAACAUACUUAAAGUAAAACAACUGACGUAAUUAAAGGUAAGAGUUGUGUUUUUUGGUUCAAAUCAAGCAUACUAAGAUGUUAAUUAUGGAAAAAACCGAACACAGUUCAUAAAAUCUGGAAAAAAGCAUAAAAAAACAAUGUUGCGCGCAUCAGAGCGCAUUAUGCGAUGAGCGCAUUAUGCGAAAUGCGCGCAAUAUUCUCGCAUCACGUAAACGCAUCGCAUCAGCUGUUGCGAUGCGCUCUCAUUAGCGCAUCGGGCGCAUCACGCAUUAUGCGCGCAUUUUAAAACCAAGAUUGCAAUGAUGGCUGCUUUAGGAACAUUGCUUGCAGAUUUUCUUAGCACUCAGUAUUAUGAACGGAAACAUGAGAAGCAGAUCCAAGGCGUUAGAGUUGACUCGGUUGACUUGGCUUCAGAGGCCGGGAUUGUCCCGGUCCCAGUUGCUGGUAAAGAGGAAGGAGGUGGAAUUCAUAUUGUCGGAAUGCAUGCUCAUGCUGCACAACAUAGACAAAAUCAUGCAAGCGGGUAAGAGGGAUGUGAAGGAACUUGAGUGAGCAUUUGGAUGAUUACUCUAUUACCCAUUCCCAAUUUCCCAUCCCAUUCCCAUUCACAUUCACAUUCACAUUCCCAUGGGUUUGGUGAUGAUGAAGAUGAAAGCGGCAUACGACAUGUUGUGGUUUCUCAGGUUUUGGAACUUGAAAUCAUAUCACACUCGGGCUUUCGCUCAGAGUGUCACAAAGCCCAUGAACAAUCAGACCUUUCUUAGGCGCGCUAUCUUUCCAUCAAUUCUUUGAAGGAUUUGCGCUCGGUGGCUGCAUCUCACAGGCCAAAUUCGGGAACCUUCAUUCCACUGUAAUGUUCAUUAAGCAGCCAGGGCGUGUUGUCGAAGAGUGCAAAUUGAGAGUGGUAUAUCUUCCUCCACCCCAACCACCUUCACCCGUUCUUGAAGAUCCCACUGAAGGGGCGGCUUCACCCAAAGUGUCAUUUAACAGUGAGAAUUUAAAUGGACCCGAGGUUACAAGACAAAUUAUGAAUUUUGAUGAUAAAUCCUUUAAGGUGAGUUGAUGUGUGUGGACCGAAAGAAACGGGCCCACCUUAGAUUUCAGAAUCUUAACAUCUAAUAUUCGUAUGCUAUGUUGAAGCAACUUUUUAAUAUAAACUCAGCAGCACGUUUUAUCACAGAUACGUUUGUUACGGAUUAUUGAAAUAGUUAUUCUUCAAUCUACAACCAGAACUGAUUUAGAGGUGGCAAAGUGCAUGGGUUGUGUGGGGGGACUGAGUAACUGGUCAAAACGGGUUCGGGUCAUCCAGAGAAUUUUUAGUAUGGGUCCUUUGGGUUUGGCGGACAUAUAUCACUCUUUGUUCAAGAUUUUUAAAUUUGUUAUAAACAUUUAGUGUGCCAAAUAUUUGCUACCAAUGUUAUAUGUGUGACCAAAAAUUUGUUAUUUUAAUAUACUUUUAUA